Molecule: non-coding RNA, 22 nt
Filed under: Arabidopsis thaliana (thale cress)
Lineage: Eukaryota; Viridiplantae; Streptophyta; Magnoliopsida; Brassicales; Brassicaceae
Source: RNAcentral
UCAACCAAUCAUGCUAUGUAUA